RNAcentral lists this long non-coding RNA (6636 nucleotides) under Capsicum annuum. Its description in RNAcentral is "long non-coding RNA (CANN_LNC010087)". The record is from RNAcentral. Lineage: Eukaryota; Viridiplantae; Streptophyta; Magnoliopsida; Solanales; Solanaceae.
AAAAAAAUGAUAUUAUGUAUCGAUGAGUAUAGUAACACAUGAAAAAACCAACUGAUAUAUACAACACUUGGCCAUUGGGGUUAGUACAUCUAGAGACAAGACACUACCAUAACUUUACAUUAGUAUAAAAAGCCUCUAAAAGAUACAUAGACUUAUUUAGGGUCGGGACAAACCCCCGCCAUACUCUUGACCUUCUGCACAAUACCAAAAUAUAUGGAACAGACUCGGAAAGCCCUGAAGCAACCUGGAGCUCACCAAUAGCAGCUGGAUAUCCUGGGCUUCUACUAAGGAGUCCCGUUUGCCAAAUCACCUGUGCCUAUAACAUGAAAUAUAUGUCUCCUAUAAGGGGAGUCAGUACCAAAAUAUAUACUUAGUAUGCAAGGCAAAAGAGUAACAAUAAAUGAUACAAAUGCUCAAUAGAAAUCAGAUAUAACUGUAUAAGUAGUACUAGUAGACCACCUUUAUAUAUGCUUGUGGGACUACGUGCAUUAUGUUCCUUUCUUUAUUUUUACCUUUCUUACUUCAAAGUAUUUGUAAGCCAUAUAUAAAGCAAAUAACCAGUUGAUCAGUGGUAAAUAGAUAAACUAGGAUCGGCCUAUGCUAGGUUACGCCCCUGAGCUUCCACCUACAUAUAAAGAUUAGGAUCGGCCCAUGCUAGAUUUAUGCCCCUGAUCUGCAACCCACAUAUAAAGGUAUCGAGAUCGGACCAUGCUAGGGUUAUGCCCUUGAGCUACCACUCAUUUUAGAUUCACGUUACUUAGUAUAUUUAUCCUUUGAGAUUGUUACUUUGUUGGUCAUAACAAUAUGGUACCUUGAACCAAUAACCUGCUAAUAAAGAGACAUAUAAAAGGGCACUUAAUGCAACACAAUAAGGUAGGGAGCUGUUGUCACACAAAUGAAGUAUUUAGGAGCUGAAAAUAACACAUGGGUCUUAUUUGAGUAAACGGAGAACUUCUAAAAAUUUCAAAUGAAGAUAGGUGUGCAGGUGUAAUAAUAAGCAUGUAUUGAGGUGUUUUAACAUGUUAGAGAGUGGGAACAAGAUCAUUGGCUUCAUGGGAUACAAUAUGCUACUAUUAUGUGUCACUUAUUACAGGAUAACCUUCAAAACUUACUAGAUGGAACAAAUGUUCAAUUUUAUACCAAAGAGUACAAAAUGGAGUAUGCUUUACAUGCCUGGUUAUAUAACUCUAAAACUAACACGAAUUGGCUUCCCUCCUUUUAGACUACUUAUCCACAAUAGAAUAUAUGGUAAACUAGCAUUAGCAACCAACUAACAUAUUUAGGCUACUUACUUCAUCCAAAACAGUAACCGGGUAGCAAACCAUUAAUCUAUCAAUCAAGGGUGUUAUUUUAACCCUUUUCUCCUCUAAUUACACCCACAUACCAUAUAGGUUCUUAUAAGAUUCACCAAAACCACCUCGGCUUCAUUACAUAUUCCAAACAGUACUAAAAAAAGAUUAGGCAGUAAACAAAUGUAACAAUUGGUUUGGUGGUGUACCGUCACACCUUUCUUCUAUAUUUCAUUACAAACUAAUCAUAUAUCUCUCCAACAUAAAGCUAGUAGCCUAUAACAUAUACAUACAAAUCUGUCCACAAAACAACCUCAAAUCCCUUUUAUUUAAGCAAUCAAUUAUUGAACUCAUCAUCUCUUGAGUUCUCAAUAACAACACAUCCAUAAUUCUCUUUCAAAUUCACAUACAAGGAGAUCAAAAUGGAGCAGUCACCUUAUCUCAAUUCUAAAACUUAUUAUUUUAAUUUGAACACCUCAAAACUUCAACUUUCACUUUCCUUCACACUUUAAACCAAACAAGAAAAGAGAUCUCUUAAUAACAAAGAAAAAGUGAGCAAGUAGCUUGUUCUAUAUUCUUCCAUGUAUUUGUAAUUAGGUACCUAUAGCAUGUUUUCCUAAUAUUCCAUGAGAUAAUUAAGCCAAACUAUAAGUGCUUUCACUUACCUUGGGCUGCAAAGGUGAGGGUUUCUUCAAGAACCCUAGAAGGAAUUUUUGGGCUGCACCUUGUUGUUUUAGAGAGAGUAGAAAGAUUUUGUGAAAUAUACUCUUUUUUGUGACUUAAUGCAAACUUGGUUUGAGAAAUGAAAGUGUCUAUUUAUAAGAAUCACAUUAGGUUAUAUGUUAGUAGGUAAAUUAGUUGGUUGGGUGAUUUUGAUAUUUAUAAGAGUUGGGAGAGUAAAAUCAUAUUUAAGGAAGAUUUUUCAAAAGUCUAAAAAAAAUCCUUCAAAAAACACAUGGUCAAACACAACUCCAACUCCAACUUAAAAAAUUAUUAGUUUUCAUGACCAAACGCCUACUAAUUAUUAUAAUCUACUUCCUUUUGGGUGUUGUGGUCUGGAGUUCAAAAAUUGUUCUUCCCUGUACCCCUUAUAAGAACUCAUUCCAUACUAACUAUAUUUACCUCAUCCGAAAGGGCAGGGUGUUUGGGAAUUCCUUAAAAAUCUUUAGGAAGUCCAUUAAAUAUUAUUGUUAGAUGAUGUCAUAGUGAGGAAAAUUUUGCAAUCAUGUUGACAUCACCCUAGUAUAGCGGGAAUCUUCCCUCACUAUAGUGGUGUAUCUAUAGUAGCAUGCAGGAUACAAUAGCGGUAUACCAAGCUGUCUCUAUGCAAAUCAUAAGACUUUUUUCUUUUGUGCUUUAAAUCAGAAUGUUUUAACUUUAAAUAAAAUCCCUUGGGUUUCCUCAAGAAACUAGAAUGAUAAUAAUGAAGUACAGUUAGAAAGGGCAAACCUUAAAGAUUUCUCACAUUUUUCACAAUAAAAAUUGCUAGAACAGGUCUAGGAGGAGAAUUCAUACCUCUAUAGCAGUUGAUUAUUUCAUAGGUAGGCUAGGUAAGUAGUUAGCCUUAUCUUGAAAAUGCACUCAUAAAGCAUGUUAGUGGGAAAUUUAAUGUUAGUAUUAUGGACAAUGUCAUCUGAUGGAUAAAGCAAGUAUAUUGGAGUAAACAAGAAUGAAGUUACUAUUUAUGUAAUUGUAUGGUGAAUUAUUUCUUCUAAUUACCUGCUAUUUUUAUGCUUGCCAAUGGAGUAGUAAAGCGGAAAUAAAAUAGUUACUAUUUGAGGAAUAUUCUUUAAGAAGAGAUGAGUUCAUGGAAAAUAUGGUGUUAAUUCCUUAAACCUUAUUCUAUUAGUGAUAGUUGAUCUUUAGAAUACAAGUUCUAGCUUGAUAUUAAAAAAUAUGGUCUUCGAGUAUACUAGUAAGAGAGUUUAGGGUUAUUUAUGAAGUAACCGAUCUAUGAUUAUGUAGUAUUAAGAUAGAAGCUAUGGAGUUAUUGAUGUUCUAGUUUAGAGGAAUUGUGGAAGUAUGAAAGUAUCAAGAUAUAUAUCGUGAUACAAUCAUAAAAUAGGUAGUUAACUAGAUUUACUAUAUGUAGUCCCUUUUCAUGGUUAUUGGCUGAUAAUAGGUGAUGUGCUAAGGGGUCAAAUUCCUUAAAUAAGUUGUAGGCUAGGGUUGAAUUGGAGUUCAGCCUCAAUUAUGUUGUAUAUGUACAUGUUAACUAAUUAUUUAUUUAUUUAGAUGUAAUGCACGCUAAGGAACAUAGAAUUUGGUUUAUGUAACUCACUAUGUGAUUGUACUUUUUUACUGUACCAUUUUCUAUUGUUAGAUGAACUCAUAAAGUUUGAUCAUAAUUGAAUUAGUGGAUUUUAGUGGAUAAGGGUAGGGACAUUAGAAUAAUGAAAGUAUAACACUUGGCUUGGAAUAAGAGUGUGAACCACUAAUUGUCUGGGAUAUUUUGUGCAUAGACUAAUCUCAUCCUUUUUAGGUCAUGGCUAGUGGGUAGUCAUAAGUCCCAUAGCAUAUAUGUACAUUUUUAUUUCGUGAGUUCAAAGAUUUCUUGAUUGAACUGGGUUAUAUUAUGUUAUUAUUAUAUUGGGUUCUUUGUGGACCAUUGCCUAAUGAUAUUUCUUGGGUUCUUGAAUGAAUUAACAACUUGACUUAAUGAUUUGUACAAUAAACUUUAAGUGAUGGUAUAUGUAAGGGUGAAAAAUGAAAACACUAAUUGUUAAAUUCUUUCUUGUUUUUAGAGUCUUUUUUAUACUUUUCCUAAGUACAAUAAGAUUUGAAUGUUUGAGGAAGCUCAUGAGGGUUUAUUGAUAUUUGAUUUUAUUUGAGAAACCGAGUGUAUCAUUAGUUCUUCGGUUAAUAAUGAACCUUCUGAGUUACUGGUUUCUAUAUUAGAUUUAUAGGUAAAAUAUUUUAAUGAAUAGAUAAAAUUGUUAUAGGGGAAGGGUACUGCUAGAAAUCAAUUAACAAGGUCACUACUAGCAAGGAGUACCUCACUGCCAUAACCCCACUGUAGCAGGAAUUCUCCCAUUAUAGUGAGGCUGCUAUAGUUGAAGGGACGCUGCUAUAGAAGGGACCUGGGCAGUGUCCCUAUUCUGCUUUCUAAUGAUUCUACACUUUACCCCAACUUGUCAAAUAAUAAUCAUAAGAUACUAUUAAGUAUGUAAGCCAGUCUAUAUCUUAAAUAAUGAGAUAAUAAUGGCAAAUUCAUUCGUAGAUUAUAAGAAUUAAAGUAUUCAAAGGUGUGCAAAGCUAAAAGAUUGUUUUUACAAGCCUUAAACAAGGGAAACACAAAUAUAAUAGCAAUAAUAAGAUGGAGGCAAGAUAGUGUGCAUUCUUAAAAUUUAGACCCCGCCAUUGUUUAAGCUUGAAGCAUUGGAGCCCUCCUUCUCUAUACCUCUUAAUAAUGAGAACUCUAAAACAUCUUCCAUUUUAAACUUAGGGAGCUUCUCAUGAGGGACGAUGCACCUGAACAUGACCUUUUCAUUCCUUCACAUCUAGGCAAGCAUAUGAUCUAGGGAAUUCCUUUACUUCUUCUCCUCAUCCAACAUCCUACAAAGCUCUGCAUAAGCUUAAGCCAGGUCUAACAGGGUUAUUAAAACUAAACAGAGUCGAACCUUAAGAAGGCAAGUAGGGUUGGUAUAAAUAGCUCCUCAAAAUAUUCAUGUCUACCUACAAGAGCUCAUAAGACAUAGAGGGAUAUGUAGGAGGUUUGCUGGUCUCUUCACUCUCUUCUACCCUACUUUUCUUUUCCUAUAUCCGUAUUUCCUUUAUUCUUACAUUAACCAUAUGCACUCUUGACCUUGAGUAGGCUAACGGGUCAGUCGAACUCCAAAACUUAAUUAUAUUCCUUCCGAGGAACACCUAAAAAGAUUCAUAACACUAUAAUCAAGCUAGAAAGAUAAGUAUUCUUCUUAUUUCCUUGUUGACAUCCUUCUACUCCAACAAAAUUUGGGCCUCUAUAUUCAGCCGAAUUGCCAAAUUGCAUGGGUUUCUACCAAAGCUUGAGGAUGUGUCACAUCUGUGGAGUUGCCCGAAAUAUGAAUCCUCCUAGUUACAAAAUUAAGCCACCUCAUGUCAUCUACAUUAAAGUGUUUAAUCUUAAUCUCCUCAAUGAUCAUCUAGUAGACCUUUUCCUAGUCAGCAUCCACUAUCAGAGUGCCUCGAAACCACUGUAGGCUUAUCACAACAAGCUUUGACUUAAUUUCAGCAAUAGGGAUAUUUAGUAACCCCCAAAGCCUCAUAAAUCAUAGAAACAUCCGUGGUAACCAUCACUUCAUCUAUAUGGAUGGUAGGUUAAGGGUUGUACCAAUGAAAAGUAGAAAAAUUUCCUAAAAACUCCUUGACAUUGACCAUUAUUCCAUUUGGGCAGGCUCCACUAGUAGUAUCCAUAUGAACUCCUAUAUCAGGUAUACAAUUUUGGUACCUCCUCCUCAAUAUCUGUUAUAAUGGAUCCUCUCGCCUAAAAAUUCCAUUAUUUGAUAGUCUUUGUAUCUUUAUUGUUAGGUUUUGUCAGGAAACCACUAAAAGGGAAGGGGAGCAUUGUGUUAGUUUUGUUCAUCCAUUGCGUUAGCAUUCCAACAAAAACACUGCGAAAUUAAAUUAGAGGCCAUGGAAGUACUAAAUAAUUUUAAAUAUUCCCAAAGUUAUUGAGUUAAUGUUUUAGGGAAGGAUAUUGUUUACCUCCCAUUAUUGCAAAAAGCAUCUUGCUUUCGCAGGGCUACUAUAGUUGGAAUUUUUCUUCUAUAGUAAGAUGAAGUCACUACAAUAGCCUUCAUUAUCCCUAACCCAUCUUAGUGCAUCAAUGGCAUAUUUUUUUAAUUUUUACAAUUUUAUUACUUUGUAACAUAUCAGGGUUGUUCAAGUACAAUAAGUAUACUAAAUAAAAGAAUUUUAGCGGUAACACUCCGAUCAGAGCCCCAAUGGUUGUGAAACUUUUGAAAAUGUACCCUUCAAAUUCUACCCUUUGUUUAAGCCCCAAACUAUCCAUGAACUUCAUAAAUAUUAUGAUUAGAAAGCCAUUGGAGCAUUAGUAAUGUAAAGGACACAAGUAUGCUUCAAAAUUUUGAUCGAAAUGGGAAAAAAUCAUCCAACUUCAAAAACCAUCCCUAAUAAUAUAUUUGAAUGAAUUCUAGCCUUUAUCUUCCAUUAUUAGUGUGACAAAAUAAAGAGACAAAGUUAGAAAGAAUGUUUACCUUAAUGCGGAUAUCAGGAAGGAGUGCUUGAUCGGCUACGAAAGGAAAGAUGUGAUUUAAGAAUAUAAUUAUGGUGAUACCCAUUUCUCCUCCCUUUUAAACUGCAAGUGGUCCACUAUAGCAUCCCACCUUCUACAAUAGCAGCAGGG